AGAGUUUGAUUAUGGCUCAGGAUUAACGCUGGCGGCGUGCCUAAUACAUGCAAGUCGAAUGGUUAGCUUGCUAACCAUGGCGAACGGGUGAGUAACACGUAGGCAACCUGUCUAAGAGACGAGGAUAACCAUUGGAAACGAUGGAUAAUACUGGAUAAGAUAUUGGGAGGCAUCUUCUGAUAUUUAAAGAUUUAUCGCUAAUAGAGGGGCCUGCGGCGCAUUAGCUAGUUGGUGAGGUAACGGCCCACCAAGGCGAUGAUGCGUAGCCGGACUGAGAGGUUGAACGGCCACAAUGGGACUGAGAACGGCCCAUACUCCUACGGGAGGCAGCAGUAGGGAAUUUUCGGCAAUGGACGAAAGUCUGACCGAGCAACGCCGCGUGAACGAAGAAGUAUUUCGGUAUGUAAAGUUCUUUUAUUUGGGAAGAAAAUACAUUGACUGUACCAAAUGAAUAAGCUCCGGCUAACUACGUGCCAGCCGCGGC
RNAcentral lists this ribosomal RNA (484 nucleotides) under uncultured bacterium. RNAcentral's name for it is "bacterial SSU rRNA". It matches the Rfam family "Bacterial small subunit ribosomal RNA", at positions 8 to 518 of the family's 1533-position model. The record is from RNAcentral.